RNAcentral lists this ribosomal RNA (497 nucleotides) under uncultured bacterium. Its description in RNAcentral is "partial 16S ribosomal RNA". It matches the Rfam family "Bacterial small subunit ribosomal RNA", at positions 28 to 507 of the family's 1533-position model. The record is from RNAcentral.
GAUGAACGCUGGCGGCGUGCCUAAUACAUGCAAGUCGAGCGAACAGACGAGCAUCUUGCUCCUCUGACGUUAGCGGCGGACGGGUGAGUAACACGUGGAUAACCUACCUAUAAGACUCGGAUAACUUCGGGAAACCGGAGCUAAUACCGGAUAAUAUAUUGAACCGCAUGGUUCAAUAGUGAAAGACGGUUUUGCUGUCACUUAUAGAUGGAUCCGCGCCGCAUUAGCUAGUUGGUAAGGUAACGGCUUACCAAGGCAACGAUGCGUAGCCGACCUGAGAGGGUGGUCGGCGAACCGGGAACUGAGACACGGUCCAGAGUCCUGAGGGAGGCAGCAGUAGGCAAUCGUCCGCAAUGGGCGAAAGCCUGACGGAGCAACGCGGCGUGAGGGAUGAAGGACUUCGGAUCGUAAAACUCUGUUAUCAGGGAAGAACGAAUGUGUAAGUAACUAUGAACGUCUUGAAGGUACGUAAUCAGAAAGGCACGGCUAAAUACGUG